This 20-nucleotide ribosomal RNA is filed under the name Eucalyptopsis papuana. Its description in RNAcentral is "partial 18S ribosomal RNA". The record is from RNAcentral. Lineage: Eukaryota; Viridiplantae; Streptophyta; Magnoliopsida; Myrtales; Myrtaceae.
CACCUGCGGAAGGAUCAUUG